RNAcentral lists this long non-coding RNA (525 nucleotides) under Homo sapiens (human). Its description in RNAcentral is "HSALNT0396235". The record is from RNAcentral. Lineage: Eukaryota; Metazoa; Chordata; Mammalia; Primates; Hominidae.
GUUGGCGAGUGUGAAGAGAGAGGAGGAGCGUUUGCGGCCUCAGCGUCUGUCAACAGAACCCUCUUCACCCGUGGUUAAACCCUCCCUAACCCUGAGCUCGUGCUCCCCUCCCGGUGGACGCAGACCUGACCACAGAAGCCCUGCAGCACUCACUGGGGGCUUGAGGGAGCCCCUGAGUCCCCUCCACCCUCGCCGCCUUCUCCUGGGUACCCAGGAAACGUCUCCAAGGGAGGCUGUGACCCAGGACCCCGCCUCGACCUCACCUUCUUCUGUAAGGCGCAGUGAAAGACGAAGAUGAAGACCCCCUGGAAGGCGUUGAAGGUGGUGAAGAGAUAGGCCAUGACCACCGACUCCUUGUUGAUGAAGAGGAGGCCGAAAGCCCAGCCAUGUACGGCGUGCCUGCUUCCCCUUCACCUUCUGCUGUGAUUGUAAGUUUCCUGAGGCCUCCCCAGAAGCAGAAGCUACUAUGCUUCCUGUACAGCCUGCAGAACUAUGAGCCAAUUAAAUGUCUUUUCUUUAUAAACU